GGUGUGGUGGCCAAGUGGUAAGGUGGUGGUCUUGUAAACUAAAGAUCAUGGGUCCCAUCCCCAUCCAUGCUU
This is a non-coding RNA of Caranx melampygus (bluefin trevally), 72 nucleotides long. Lineage: Eukaryota; Metazoa; Chordata; Actinopteri; Carangiformes; Carangidae. The record is from the annotation of a GenBank genome assembly.